This 24-nucleotide non-coding RNA is filed under the name Arabidopsis thaliana (thale cress). Lineage: Eukaryota; Viridiplantae; Streptophyta; Magnoliopsida; Brassicales; Brassicaceae. The record is from RNAcentral.
ACAAAUCUAGGUAUCCAUUUACAC